RNAcentral lists this ribosomal RNA (253 nucleotides) under uncultured bacterium. RNAcentral describes it as "partial 16S ribosomal RNA". It matches the Rfam family "Bacterial small subunit ribosomal RNA", at positions 524 to 776 of the family's 1533-position model. The record is from RNAcentral.
UGCGUAGGCAGCAAGCGUUGUUCGGAAUUACUGGGCGUAAAGAGUGUGUAGGCGGUGCUCUAAGUUUGUCGUGAAAUCUCCCGGCUUAACUGGGAGGGUGCGGCGAAGACUGGAGUGCUAGAGGGUGGGAGAGGAAAGCGGAAUUCCUGGUGUAGCGGUGAAAUGCGUAGAUAUCAGGAGGAACACCGGCGGUGUAGACAGCUUUCUGGACCGCUUCUGACGCGGAGACACGAAAGCGUGGGUAGCAAACAGG